Molecule: ribosomal RNA, 402 nt
Filed under: uncultured Rhodoplanes sp.
Lineage: Bacteria; Pseudomonadati; Pseudomonadota; Alphaproteobacteria; Hyphomicrobiales; Nitrobacteraceae
Description: bacterial SSU rRNA
Rfam family: Bacterial small subunit ribosomal RNA
Source: RNAcentral
UUAGGAAUCUUGGACAAUGGGCGCAAGCCUGAUCCAGCCAUGCCGCGUGAGUGAUGAAGGCCUUAGGGUUGUAAAGCUCUUUCAGCGGGGAAGAUAAUGACGGUACCCGCAGAAGAAGCCCCGGCUAACUUCGUGCCAGCAGCCGCGGUAAUACGAAGGGGGCUAGCGUUGCUCGGAAUCACUGGGCGUAAAGCGCACGUAGGCGGAUCUUUAAGUCAGGGGUGAAAUCCUGGAGCUCAACUCCAGAACUGCCUUUGAUACUGGAGAGCUUGAGUCCGGGAGAGGUGAGUGGAACUCCGAGUGUAGAGGUGAAAUUCGUAGAUAUUCGGAAGAACACCAGUGGCGAAGGCGGCUCACUGGCCCGGUACUGACGCUGAGGUGCGAAAGCGUGGGGAGCAAACA